UCCCUGGAGGCCUAGUGGCUAGGCCUCAGUGCUCUCACUGCCGCAGCCAGGGUUCGAUUCCUGGCCAGGGAA
This is a non-coding RNA of Pangasianodon gigas (Mekong giant catfish), 72 nucleotides long. The record is from the annotation of a GenBank genome assembly. NCBI's taxonomy places the organism in Eukaryota, Metazoa, Chordata, Actinopteri, Siluriformes, Pangasiidae.